GAAAUACUCCAUCUGUCCCAAAAUUCUUGUCUUAGAUUUGUCUAAAUACGGAUGUAUCAAGUCACCUUUUAAUAUUGGAUACAUCUAUAUCUAGACAAAUUUAAGACAAGAAUUUUGGGACGGAGGAAGUAUAUU
Non-coding RNA from Triticum aestivum (bread wheat), 135 nucleotides. Lineage: Eukaryota; Viridiplantae; Streptophyta; Magnoliopsida; Poales; Poaceae. The record is from Rfam.